Molecule: ribosomal RNA, 447 nt
Filed under: uncultured bacterium
Lineage: Bacteria
Description: SSU rRNA
Rfam family: Bacterial small subunit ribosomal RNA
Source: RNAcentral
AGAGCGAACGCUGGCGGCAGGCCUAACACAUGCAAGUCGAGCGCCCGUAGCAAUACGGGAGCGGCAGACGGGAUAGUAACACGUGGGAACGCGCCCUUCGGUUCGGAAUAACUCAGGGAAACUUGAGCUAAUACCGAAUACGCCCUUACGGGGAAAGAUUUAUUGCCGAAGGAACGGCCCACGUCCGAUUAGCUAGUUGGUGAGGUAAUGGCUCACCAAGGCUACGAUCGGUAGCUGGUCUGAGAGGAUGACCAGCAUCACUGGGACUGAGACACGGCCCAGACUCCUACGGGAGGCAGCAGUGGGGAAUAUUGGACAAUGGGCGCAAGCCUGAUCCAGCCAUGCCGCGUGGAUGAUGAAGGCCUUAGGGUUGUAAAGUCCUUUUAACGGGGAAGAUAAUGACGGUACCCGUAGAAUAAGCCCGGCUAACUUCGCGCCAGCAGCCGC